CGGAUUGCAGGCUGCAACCCGCCUGUAUGAAGUUGGAAUCGCUAGUAAUCGCGGAUCAGCAUGCCGCGGUGAAUACGUUCCCGGGCCUUGUACACACCGCCCGUCACACCAUGAGAGUCGGGAACACCCGAAGUCCGUAGCCUAACCGCAAGGGGGCGCGGCCGAAGGUGGGAUUGGUAAUUGGGUGAAGUCGUAACAAGGUAUC
This 205-nucleotide ribosomal RNA is filed under the name uncultured bacterium. Its description in RNAcentral is "partial 16S ribosomal RNA". It matches the Rfam family "Bacterial small subunit ribosomal RNA", at positions 1294 to 1500 of the family's 1533-position model. The record is from RNAcentral.